Molecule: long non-coding RNA, 1066 nt
Organism: Dreissena polymorpha
Lineage: Eukaryota; Metazoa; Mollusca; Bivalvia; Myida; Dreissenidae
Exons: 3
Source: RefSeq, a predicted model, not a curated record
GUUUGCUUAAUGCAAACCAUAACUAUGACCUAGUUGGUAACUGUGUUUUGUUAUUGAAAAACGAAACUACAUUUACUUUCGAUUUGAUGUUAUUUGUUAAACAAUAUAAGAUACGUUGUUGUCAGGAUUAUUUCCACAGAAAGCUGACGUGUGAGGACCAAUAUCUGAAGAUCCCCACAUCUGGUCGAUAUCCUCAUCAGUGACUCUGCUUCCCGCGAGCGGUUACCUAUGCCCGGAGUAAACAACGUGAAGUCAAAAUUGUCAUAGCCAAGGUUUCCCGUGUGAGUGGGAUCUCUGUUUCUGUGGCCGAUAUGGUGCCUUGUGGUAGCAGUGACGACUUAAAAAAACCUGUCUACGCUGCUCAGGACUCAUCUCAAUUAACUUGGUUCAUAGAAAGAACCCUCUGAGUGUGUUAGACAGACAAUGGGUUCACAUAGGGAUAUAACUGAUCGAUCUCAAUUCCAUUGAUAUAUUUACCCUCGCCUUCUUUAGAAAGAACAAGUGAAUUAAUUGAUGCCAGCCAUUGUUUUAUUGGCAAUGUUUUGCAAUGCAGUAAUGAAUUAUUGAUUUUGGUCUAUGUUAAUAUCCCUAAAAUUCAUUAGUUUUGUAAAAUGUAUUACUAAGUGUUAACUGAUUUUUUAUUUCAAUUUGAGGAAUGUUCUCAUAUUUAGGUUAAAUGGAAUUACUUAAUUCAGUGUCAAAUAGAAAUAUCAUUAUUGCAUCAAACCAAACCAUUACGUGACAUUCGUCAUGUGAGAUGUUAUCAUUUGCGUAUAAACAGUCGUUUCAGUGACUUCUUCAAAAUCGAUCAUCUGCUAGUGUGAAAUACAAAAUUGAAACUAAAUGUAAUCAGUCAUUUUGCUCUUUGAUUGAGUAUAGCUUUUAUCAAUAUUUCAUAUACUAGUUAAUGAAUGUAAACUUGUUAAAUAAUAGCAUAUGCUUGUUUUUACAUUUUAUAUUUUCACAUAAUAUAAAAUAUUUAUUGCAAACAUUUUUUCACACACAUUUUAUUGGAAAUGAUUAGUUAUUAUCAAACGUUGUAAUAAUAUAUUUAUUGAAAUAAACU